RNAcentral lists this non-coding RNA (182 nucleotides) under Deltaproteobacteria bacterium. RNAcentral's name for it is "6S RNA". It matches the Rfam family "6S / SsrS RNA". From Rfam's summary of the family: E. coli 6S RNA was the first non coding RNA to be sequenced, but its function was unknown until recently. It consists of 184 nucleotides that fold into an extended hairpin structure with a large single-stranded internal bulge. The record is from RNAcentral. Lineage: Bacteria; Pseudomonadati; Myxococcota; Myxococcia.
AGACCCCUGCUGUGUUCGUGAUCGGUAGAAUUUUUUUGAGCCAACACAUACUCAAAUGGGAACCUUCUCUUACUUUGGUGUGCAAGUUCUGGAUCUUACAGAAAAGCCUAAAGGAGUAACGAGGUGCCCACCUUUGCAAAGAGGUUCACGAGAAUCUGCCGACACGGCAUGGUGGUGGUACC